This 254-nucleotide ribosomal RNA is filed under the name uncultured bacterium. RNAcentral's name for it is "partial 16S ribosomal RNA". It matches the Rfam family "Bacterial small subunit ribosomal RNA", at positions 524 to 776 of the family's 1533-position model. The record is from RNAcentral.
UACGUAGGGGGCAAGCGUUUGUCCGGAAUCAUUGGGCGUAAAGAGCGUGUAGGCGGCUCGAUAAGUCCGUUCUGAAAGUCCAGGGCUCAACCCUGGGAUGCGGAUGGAUACUGUCGGGCUCGAGUCCGGAAGAGGCGAGUGGAAUUCCCGGUGUAGCGGUGAAAUGCGCAGAUAUCGGGAGGAACACCAAUGGCGAAGGCAGCUCGCUGGGACGUGACUGACGCUGAGACGCGAAAGCGUGGGGAGCGAACAGG